Molecule: long non-coding RNA, 997 nt
Filed under: Erythranthe guttata (spotted monkey flower)
Lineage: Eukaryota; Viridiplantae; Streptophyta; Magnoliopsida; Lamiales; Phrymaceae
Description: long non-coding RNA (EGUT_LNC003023)
Source: RNAcentral
CUUUUCUUUAUCUUUUGCAGCCAUUUUUUAUCUACAAAAUUCUCUCUUCUCUCUCCCUCCCCUCCUCUCAUCUCCUCUCUCUAUCUUCUUCUCCUCCUCCUCUAAUUUUACGUUUAAAUCCCAUGAUUCUUCAUAUUCCAUCGCAAGCUUCUAUUUUCCAUUCUCGCCGCCUAGCGGUGCUGAAUCUCCGACGGCAGCGCUAGGGUUUUACAGGGGCUGCGAUUUUUCGGUUUUGGGCUUCAAUUGACAAAGAUUUCCUCUUUCCAUUCAGGGCGUGGUUUGGGUUUAGUUGGGGUGAUUUUAUUGAUCUGUGUUUUAUGAGAGAAUGAGAGUGGUGGAGUGCAGUUGCGGCGAUAGCAUAGCACCGCCGCCGCUGGUUCCGUUGGGGAUGAUGGUGGCGGUGUUAAGAGUGAAGAAGGCCUCGCUAAGGUGUCGCUGACCAGCUAUUGCUUAAUUUUGUAUAAUUCGUUGAAGGGGAUUUUGGGUGAAAACGUGGAAGAAGAUAAUGGGUAUAUUUUUUUGUGGAGAUGACGAUGCGAAUUGUGAUAAUUGAGAGAAUUGAGUGUUUUGUGAUAACAAAGAAAACCAAAUCUCUGCCAAUUAUUUUACAAGAGGUUUUUUUUCCCUUUUUUAAGUUUUUUCUAAUUCAUUUACAUUUAACAAUAUUUUUUUUGUAUUUUGAUUGUUUAAAAAUAUAUAUAUAAUUGAACAUUUAAUAAGACACAACAAAAAUAUUUAUUAAGUUAAAUAGUAAAUAUUUGAGUUUUUAAGAUUUAUUUAUACUUAAUAUACAUGUUUUAAUCCUUGAAUGUACUGAGGGGUAAAAUUGUCCGAAAAGAGUGAAACAAUUAAAAUAUAGCUAUAAAGGAGAAAGUCAACGUGCCACGUCAUCAUUCACUAACAAAUCCAAAACGGAGGGACCAUUUUGUCGCGUUUAGUAAUUCAGGGGGGUAUUUAGUACAACCCCUAUAGUUCAGGGGUACAAACUGUACUUUCC